Molecule: ribosomal RNA, 465 nt
Filed under: Vreelandella stevensii
Lineage: Bacteria; Pseudomonadati; Pseudomonadota; Gammaproteobacteria; Oceanospirillales; Halomonadaceae
Description: partial 16S ribosomal RNA
Rfam family: Bacterial small subunit ribosomal RNA
Source: RNAcentral
CCUACGGGAGGCUGCAGUGGGGAAUAUUGGACAAUGGGGGCAACCCUGAUCCAGCCAUGCCGCGUGUGUGAAGAAGGCCCUCGGGUUGUAAAGCACUUUCAGUGAGGAAGAACGCCUGGUGGUUAAUACCCAUCAGGAAAGACAUCACUCACAGAAGAAGCACCGGCUAACUCCGUGCCAGCAGCCGCGGUAAUACGGAGGGUGCGAGCGUUAAUCGGAAUUACUGGGCGUAAAGCGCGCGUAGGUGGCUUGAUAAGCCGGUUGUGAAAGCCCCGGGCUCAACCUGGGAACGGCAUCCGGAACUGUCAAGCUAGAGUGCAGGAGAGGAAGGUAGAAUUCCCGGUGUAGCGGUGAAAUGCGUAGAGAUCGGGAGGAAUACCAAUGGCGAAGGCGGCCUUCUGGACUGACACUGACACUGAGGUGCGAAAGCGUGGGUAGCAAACAGGAUUAGAUACCCUUGUAGUC